RNAcentral lists this ribosomal RNA (381 nucleotides) under uncultured Alphaproteobacteria bacterium. Its description in RNAcentral is "bacterial SSU rRNA". It matches the Rfam family "Bacterial small subunit ribosomal RNA", at positions 9 to 416 of the family's 1533-position model. The record is from RNAcentral. Lineage: Bacteria; Pseudomonadati; Pseudomonadota; Alphaproteobacteria.
GAGUUUGAUCUUGGCUCAGAACGAACGCUGGCGGCAGGCUUAACACAUGCAAGUCGAACGCGUGUAGCAAUACACGAGUGGCGCACGGGUGAGUAACACGUGGAUAUCUGCCUUUUGGUUCGGAAUAACCCUGGGAAACUAGGGCUAAUACCGAAUGGUUCCUACGGGAUAAAGAUUUAUCGCCAAAAGAUGAGUCCGCGUCCGAUUAGCUAGUUGGUGAGGUAAUGGCUCACCAAGGCGACGAUCGGUAGCUGGUCUGAGAGGACGAUCAGCCACACUGGGACUGAGACACGGCCCAGACUCCUACGGGAGGCAGCAGUGGGGAAUAUUGGACAAUGGGGGCAACCCUGAUCCAGCCAUGCCGCGUGAGUGAUGAAGGCC